UACAGAGGUCUCAAGCGUUGUUCGGAUUCAUUGGGCGUAAAGGGUGCGUAGGCGGCGCGGUAAGUCGGGUGUGAAAGCCCCGGGCUCAGCCCGGGAAGGGCACUCGAAACUGCCGAGCUGGAGUGCCGGAGGGGAGAGUGGAAUUCCUGGUGUAGCGGUGAAAUGCGUAGAUAUCAGGAGGAAUACCGGUGGCGAAAGCGACUCUCUGGACGGCAACUGACGCUGAGGCACGAAAGCGUGGGGAGCAAACAGG
This 253-nucleotide ribosomal RNA is filed under the name uncultured bacterium. Its description in RNAcentral is "partial 16S ribosomal RNA". It matches the Rfam family "Bacterial small subunit ribosomal RNA", at positions 524 to 776 of the family's 1533-position model. The record is from RNAcentral.